This 492-nucleotide ribosomal RNA is filed under the name uncultured bacterium. RNAcentral's name for it is "partial 16S ribosomal RNA". It matches the Rfam family "Bacterial small subunit ribosomal RNA", at positions 29 to 507 of the family's 1533-position model. The record is from RNAcentral.
AGUGAACGCUGGCGGUAGGCCUAACACAUGCAAGUCGAACGGCAGCACAGUAAGAGCUUGCUCUUACGGGUGGCGAGUGGCGGACGGGUGAGGAAUACAUCGGAAUCUACUUUUUCGUGGGGGAUAACGUAGGGAAACUUACGCUAAUACCGCAUAUGACCUACGGGUGAAAGCAGGGGAUCUUCGGACUUUGCGCGAUUGAAUGAGCCGAUGUCGGAUUAGCUAGUUGGCGGGGUAAAGGCCCACCAAGGCGACGAUCCGUAGCUGGUCUGAGAGGAUGAUCAGCCACACUGGAACUGAGACACGGUCCAGACUCCUACGGGAGGCAGCAGUGGGGAAUAUUGGGCAAUGGGCGCAAGCCUGAUCCAGCCAUACCGCGUGGGUGAAGAAGGCCUUCGGGUUGUAAAGCCCUUUUGUUGGGAAAGAAAAGCAGCAGGUUAAUACCCCGCUGUUCUGACGGUACCCAAAGAAUAAGCACCGGCUAACUUCGUG